This 946-nucleotide ribosomal RNA is filed under the name Conus tribblei. RNAcentral's name for it is "12S ribosomal RNA". The stretch from base 236 to 945 matches the Rfam family "Microsporidia small subunit ribosomal RNA". The record is from RNAcentral. Lineage: Eukaryota; Metazoa; Mollusca; Gastropoda; Neogastropoda; Conidae.
UCUCUUGAUUAAAAUAUGAUUACUAUUUUAAACCAAAAGUGAUGGUAAGCAAAAACUUAAAUGAUAAAGUAGUAAAACUUGGCUCUGAUUUUAAGUAUGGCGUGCACUAAGGGAUACACAUGGUUUUUGUAGAGAGAGAUGAGGUGGAAGAUUAAAAGUUAGGUUAGCAUAAAGUUAUAUAGACAAGAUCUUCUAGGAUGUUAUAGUGAACACGAUGUCCUGAAAUCCCCAUUAACACCAGUGUUGGAGAUUAAGAAAAGAGUGAAAGCUUGUCUUAGCUUAGUGAAUAAAAUUUGGUUAAUUUGGUGCCAGCAUCCGCGGUUAAACCAAGGAAUUUAGUCAUUUUUUUUGGUAAAAAGACAGUUAGGCAGAAUAAGAUCAUUGGACCUUUAGUACAGGGGUAAAAUCUAAAUACUAAAAGUUAUAUCAGGUGUGAUUUAUUUAAGACGCUGAAUCUGUGACAACUUUAAGGGAAACUGGGAUUGGAUACCCCAUUAUUUUUAGUAGUAAAUUUAAUCUAGAUUUACCAGAGUACUACGAAUAAAAAAUUUAAAACUCAAAGAGCUUGGCGGUGUUUUAGACCUCUCAGGGGAACCUGUCUCAUAAUCGACAAUCCGCGCUAAACCCGACCCUCUGUAGCAGUUCAGCCUGUAUACCGUUGUCGUCAGGUAACUUCUUAAAAUAUAGUAGUUAGCUCGAGAAUCUUAUUAAUUAGUACGUCAAAUCAAGGUGCAGCUAAUAAGAGGGAGAGGAUGGGUUACAAUUAUAUAUUUAUAAUUACGAAAAACAUCUUAAAUAAAAUGCUGGAAGGAGGACUUGAAAGUAAUUUUGAUUAUAUAAAUAGAAUGAAUAAGGCUCUGAAACGUGCACACAUCGCCCGUCGCUCUCGUUGAAAAAUGAGAUAAGUCGUAACAUAGUAGGGGUAAUGGAAAUUGUUCCUGAGCUG